UGACGUUUUGGAGCUGCGACGCACAGCCCUGCAGACCAGAGGGAUGAACUGGAGUCGGAGCCGGCAGGUUGAGUGGAAAUCAAGUUUCUCCGUGACCCUCUGUGGAUAUAAGGAGGUCUGCGGAGGAGCCCGUAUUGUUUUCAGGUGGAUCUACAUGAUGGAAUGAAGCGAGUGUUGAGUUUGAGCAGCUGUGAGACGGAGGAGUGGAACAUGGAGCAGCAUUAGUCCGGAGAUAGCCCCAGGCAGCAGAGCCACAACCAGGAGGAGGAGAGUCCCACGGCAGAGUGAAGGAAGUGUUCCACAGUCCGACUGGAUAGGACAGCACAGGGACAACUGUGGAGGGAGGGAGGAACCGGCAAAGGAGAAGAGAAACACAGGCAGCAGUGGAUGGAAAUUCGGGCUGUGUGAGCUGCACUAACGUCCAUGAGCAAAGUUCUAUCCAACAUCCCAUUCUGAGAGAAGACAAAGGGGGA
Long non-coding RNA from Sphaeramia orbicularis (orbiculate cardinalfish), 473 nucleotides. RefSeq lists it as uncharacterized. The transcript is spliced from 3 exons. NCBI's taxonomy places the organism in Eukaryota, Metazoa, Chordata, Actinopteri, Kurtiformes, Apogonidae. The record is from RefSeq and is a predicted model, not a curated record.